Long non-coding RNA from Spinacia oleracea (spinach), 5590 nucleotides. RefSeq lists it as uncharacterized. The record is from RefSeq and is a predicted model, not a curated record. The transcript has 2 exons. Lineage: Eukaryota; Viridiplantae; Streptophyta; Magnoliopsida; Caryophyllales; Amaranthaceae.
AUGGUUUUGAAUUUGAAUUAGAAAAGAAUAUGAUUUUAUUUUAAUUUUAUUUUAAAAAAAUUCGUCGAUGUUUCCUAUGCCAACAGAAAGGUUGAAGGGAGAGAAAAAUCAUGAAGCAGAGAGAAGCCACUCGCACCCUAAGGUCAUCCCCACCAUCUUCAACCAACUCCAACCACCACCCUCAUCAACGAACCUCACCCACCAUCAGUCACGCAACACGAGUCGGCCAAAUCACCUACCACCAGUCAAGCGAUACAAAUUAGGCCUUUAAAUGGUAGAAUUCGGCUACGAAAACCUCAGAUCUGUAGUUGGAAUAUUGAUGGUCGAAUUCCCCCGGAAAAUCCGGUGAUGAGCGGCUGUAGGAAAUGAUUGGGGGGAACAUUAACAGUCAACCUGAAUUUGACUAAGGAUGUUGGUGAUUGUCAUUUGUUGUUUCCAAGGUGGUAUGCGGAAAGGAACACGUGGGGUCCUGCAUAUCUAAAGCAUUUAUUUUGGGCUGGCAUGAAGACGACCCAAGGAAUUGAAAGUAUAAACAACUUUUUUGACUUAUAUGUACACAAGAAUACGCAUUUGUAUGAAUUUGUCGAGUCUUACUGUGAAGCAAUGGAGUCAAGGGCAUAUAAAGAAAGUUUGGAUGAUACUGGUACUGCGAGAAAUUUGAGUCAACUUGUUACCUGUUUCCGAACCGAGGAGGUUUGUUAGAAAAUAUAGACAGACGCCAAAUUCCAUGAGGUCCAAAGAUAGUGUAGUAGGGUAUUGUAUGUGCGGUGUUUGAAUAAGAAAAUGUCGGAUGAGUAUGUUGAAGAGUAUGAGCAUGUUGAAGAGUAUGAGCUUCAGGAUAGGGUUUGGAUAAAAUCUAAACACGCAAGGAAGGAGAUUGUUACAAAGCACAAGAUGAAGUUUCUUGCAAAGUAUAAUUGCGUUACCAAGGAAGCUACCUGUCAAUGUAAGAACUUUGAAUGUCAUGGAAUAAUGUGUAGGCAUAUGAUAUUAUUGUUUUAUUUGAAUAACGAGACUGAAGUUCCUGGAAAAUAUAUACUCCGACGUUGGCGGAAAGAUGUUGAAAGGAAGCAUACUAAGGUGAAGGUAAUGUACCACGACCCAUUGAAGACAAAAGUUGUGUGUAGGUUAAAGUGCUUUCUAUUCAAUUCUUUAAGUUUACCUCAUAAGUAUUGUCAGAAUGUGAUGUUGAAAGGUGAUGUAAAAUAUGGAUAGGUACGAUAAGUUAAUUGUGUUGUUUGGCCCUAUAUGCACAAACACAGCUUGUUACAAAGAAUAAAUGGAUUUUGUUGUUGAAAUGUUUCAAUUGUUGGAAAUUCUGGUGGAUCGAUGAGAAGACUGCAAUGCUUCACAGACAAAGGGAGAAUGAAGAUGUUGGUGUUGGAACCCCUUCUUCUGUAUGUUUGGCGAAAAGUGGUACAGAAUUUACCCCCUCGUCUGUUGGGAAUUUGCAACCUAUAGUACGACGUACAUUGAUGUUUGAUUCCCCACAAACAAAUGAACAUGCAUGAAGGGAGUUGUGAUGAUGGUGGUGGUGAUGGUGUAUCAAGAAGCUUAGAUGCAAGUGUUGUUGGUUUAUAAGGAAGCUUCAAUGCAAGAGUAGAUGCAUUGGUUGAUGAUGAUGAUGAAGGCACUCCUAGUAUAGAUGUAAUCUGUAGACACCUACUUUUGUCCCCAUUCCCGAAAGGGAAGGUUCGAUGAUGAGAACAUAAAUCUCCAUUUGGCAACGCAUCUCCUAUAAAAUAACGAAUAUCGAUCACCCUUUUCAUUUCAACCUAACCUGCUAUUUAUAGAAACCUGCUAAAAAUAGUAAUUGCCAUAACGGGUAGUUGUUAAAAGUGGCAAGACAUAAAAGAUAGAAAUCUGUCGGAAUUAGGUGUUGCACUCCAACAUAAAUCCUAAAAGAGAUAGAAUUUACAAAAGGAAUUAUGUUCCUGCUAUAAUUCGGAAAUAAGAGUUACGUAUUAAUUAAACUCCUAACGAACCUACAGUUCGUAACGGGCCCAGACGCAUUCCGUCAUAAGUUGAUACGCACUAAGAAACUCGGAUAAGUCUCAAAAGCUCCGUGAUUAAGAGUCCAAAUCUGACAAAAGGCUCCGCUCAGACCCUAUUUUCAACGCCUGGGUCUGGGCGCCGAAAUCAUCGGCGCCCAGCCCUGGGCGCUGAAAAUACCUGGGGCCGUGUUGUCUCCGAAUUCUCUUUGGGUUCGGAUUCUAAAGAUCUAUCUUUCCAUAAACUCUUUCCCUAUAAAUACAGCCUCAUAAUCGACGAGAACAGAACACACAAUUCAUAAUCUAAGUAUUGACUCCAACCCCUAAGCCUAAGCCUCACGCUGCGAAAUUAAUCCCGCGUUCUGUCGUAAUCGACCCAAAAGUCGAACAGAACGUAUCAUGUCCCUUGUAGCUGAAGAAUUAAGCUUAAAUACUGGAACACUGCUCAGAAACCCGAGAUUCGUUAAAUAAAAGGAGAAAUAGCAAAGCCAAGUGGUUAGUUUUCUGAGAACCGUGACGCAGCUCUCAAGGGUGCGUCGUAAUGUGUCCCUUCGUAUGAUUUAAUUGCUUUCAUCACCCUUUUAUAAAAUUGAUAAACUAUUAAUUUGAUUGAUCUAUCACGCCUAAUAAAGAUAAUACCUUGGACAAUUAAACUAUCAUGCUAGGUACCUUAAAUCAAUCUAAACAAGAUAAUCACGAUCGAUUUAGUAUAUGUGUUGCAUACUGCUAAAAUCAAUUCAGAAUAGUUUAAUAGUUAACGCAUGUCUCUUCAAUUAUUUAUGAUGAGCUAGUAAGGAUAACCUGCCUCUGGAGUUAUCGAUGAGCACUCCUCUCGGUAGUUACAGUCCCCCGAACUCUCAAUCUCUGCCCUGCGGGUGUACGUUGAGCGAUCCCCACACCAGGGAUCACAAGGGAACCGAUGGCCGUCGUGGUCGAACAUAAUUGCACUCCCUUUAUGUCACGAUAACCGGGUUUUGUCAGUUUUUCUCAUUGUCGUUAAAAACUGAAUGACGACUCCUAUAUUACUAGUCGAUUGGGUGUAAACUCACAGGAAAUCUAACUACACUUGAUCCGACAACGUCACGCCCAUGAGGGACGAGGUCAUGCAUUAGCCUCGUGCUUUUUCGACCCCUCACAGUGGCGACUCCACUGGGGAACGUUAAUGAAAUACUCGUGCUCGUAGGUAAUAAAAAUAGCCGAAGGGUGAAACGAUCCUACUCCGCGUUUAUUUCCUUAUCAUGUUGGGACGACCUGAAAAUCAACAUAUUAACGUGAACGGACAAAACCGCAUAAUGAAUCUCGGCUCCCUUGGCAUGUUUCAUCUCGGGAGUUGGGACUAAGGAUACCCAUCGCCAACCGGGGGAUGCAUACGCUUCGAAUGUUGUCCACUUGACACUUGUCGCUAGUAGUACACCCGUCCCAAACCCAAUCGCUCGCCCACUAAGGUCCCUCUCAUUGGUGCAUGCCCCCUUGGCUUACAUCAUGAUUGGCCUCUUGGGACGAAAUUCGUCUGUUUAAUGCACUACCUCGACCGGGGCAUGUGUUGGAUCUAUGAUAGAAGCGGUACGAAGCCAGGCGCAAAUAUUACCCAUAGAAGCCUAUAAUAAACUACGUGACAUAUUAUUUUUUGCUUCAUGUUGUAAUGCUAGUUAUAUGUAGCGAAUUACGUGAUUAUGUUGUGAUUGUGUGUGACAAAUAACGCUAGAAAACCAACGACCCUAAAAAUUUCCCAAACAUUCACAAACACCGAUUGGCCAAAGAGUUAUACCAAAAUACGUGUCCCGCAACCCCGGGCUAUCGCCACAAAAAUAAGCGAAGCCUAGGAUGGCCCGUAACGGAUCCCACAACGCUGCACAACGCGUAAAGGACGUUAUUAGGCAAGCACGCAAAAAUAAGUCGCAUGUACGAAAAAAUAGACGAACAGAAUAUGAGUACCACUCAGGGACGCAUUUUCAGCGCCCCUGGCUGGGCCCCAAUCAUUUCAACGCCCCCUACUGGGCGCUGAAGUUGCUGCUUGGCCUUUUGGCCAGGCGUCGCAGCCUCGGUGCCCGCGCACAAAAUAUACGUAGCAAUAAAAAAUUCGUAACAAAUUUGCUACGAGGGCGUACGGAAAAGGCACUCAAUUCUAAAAACGACUUACGAAAUAAAUAGUGCCCUUGGUCCAAGUAUGCAUAUAAUAUUAAGUCUAAUAAAUGCGGUUCAGUAUUAAUUAACAAGUUAAUAAUUCAGUGAGAUCAAGUGAGCUGAAUGCCUAGCUAGAGGCCGCUUCAGUUCAAGUGGAAUUAAUGAUAUUAAUCCACAGCUUACUCUUGACUGAACCCGUAGGGUCACACAAAUAGUACGUAAACGGAUCAAGUAUUUAAUGGCAUUAAAUACUCCAUCUAUGGAUAUUCGGAAUCGACGGAUCUUGGUUUCAGUGGGAGCUGAGAUCGUCACAAGCAAGAAAUGAAUACUCCGGAAAGGAUGAUAUUACCGGAAACGGAAAUAUGGAUCGUAUCGGAAAUAUAAAUAUUAUCCAAGUCGUAAAUGUUGCCGGAAACGGAAACAUGGUACGUAUCGGAAAAUAUUAAUGGAAAUGGAAAUAUUGCCGGAAUCGGAAAUAUUGCCGGAAACGGAAAUAUUGUCAGAAUCGGAAAUAUUAUCGGAAUCAGAAAAUAAUUCCGGAAACGGAAAUAUUAAAUAUUUGUUCGAAACGGAAUUAAUUCCGGAAUCGGAAAUAUUAAAUAUUGUUCGUAUCGGAAAUGAUUUCCGGAAUCGGAAAUUUAAUCGGAAGCGUAUCGUACGAGUUAGCAUCGGACGAGGCUCGCUAGACGAAGGCCCAGCACGAAGCCAGGCCAUCGCCCAGCAAGCCACACGCAUCACCAACACACGCCAAGCCUCGACCAGGCCCAGCGCAAGGCCAGGCCCAGCCAAGGCCUUGGGCGCUCGCGCGGACACAGGCAGCAGCAUGGGCCGAGCGCUGUGUGCUCAGCGUGGGCCGCAAGGCCUGCGCGAGUGUGCGGUGCUCGUGCGAUGCUCGUGUACGCGCUAUACGAAUCCUAAAGCUAUCAGGAAUCGAUGUAUGAUUAAAUUCCUAAUCCUAAAAGGAUAAAUUAAUUAAAUAAGAGUUCUACUAGGAUUCUAGUUUAAUUAAUUCGUACCCUAGUAGGAUUCCAGUUCAUUUUCCAUACCUCUAUAAAUAGGUGCCUAGGGUCAUAAUUUAUAGACACAAUUGAAGUAUUCUAAAGGUAAGAUUUUGUAGAAAAAUCAGCCAUAUACUUGCACCUAAAUAGCCGAAAUUCCUAAGCAACCUUAAGGGCGAUUCUAGUUGGUCAAGCUUAAGGCGGAUCCGGACGUGCUGUGGACUAUCUACGAAGGGACGACACUUGGAGUCCUAAAGACUUGUUAUUGUUCGGUUCGGGCGCAGCUAGGGAGGGCACGCAACAAAGUGUAUGCAUCUAAACUAUGCUAAAUGAAUAUGUGUAAAUAAUAUGCUUUCCUGGCUUUAUGGUUUUUUCCACAUGAUUUAUGUAUUGUCAUAUGUAUCAUAACCUAACAGUGGUAUCAGAGCCUCUUAUUAUUUUCAUAAUCUAAAUUGCAUAAACAUGGUUAAUUUUCAA